This 433-nucleotide ribosomal RNA is filed under the name uncultured bacterium. RNAcentral's name for it is "partial 16S ribosomal RNA". It matches the Rfam family "Bacterial small subunit ribosomal RNA", at positions 29 to 507 of the family's 1533-position model. The record is from RNAcentral.
AACGAACGCUGGCGGCAUGCCUAACACAUGCAAGUCGAACGAGACCUUCGGGUCUAGUGGCGCACGGGUGCGUAACGCGUGGGAACCUGCCCUUAGGUUCGGAAUAACUCCCCGAAAGGGGUGCUAAUACCGGAUAAUGUCUUCGGACCAAAGAUUUAUCGCCUUUGGAUGGGCCCGCGUUGGAUUAGCUAGUUGGUAGGGUAAAAGCCUACCAAGGCGACGAUCCAUAGCUGGUCUGAGAGGAUGAUCAGCCACACUGGGACUGAGACACGGCCCAGACUCCUACGGGAGGCAGCAGUGGGGAAUAUUGGACGAUGGGGGAAAGCCUGAUCCAGCAAUGCCGCGGGAGUGAUGAAGGCCUUAGGGUUGUAAAGCUCUUUUACCCGGGAUGAUAAUGACAGUAACGGGAGAAUAAGCUCCGGCUAACUCCGUG